ACGGGAGGCAGCAGUGGGGGAUAUUGCACAAUGGGGGAAACCCUGAUGCAGCGACGCCGCGUGAGUGAAGAAGUAUUUCGGUAUGUAAAGCUCUAUCAGCAGGGAAGAAAAUGACGGUACCUGACUAAGAAGCUCCGGCUAAAUACGUGCCAGCAGCCGCGGUAAUACGUAUGGAGCAAGCGUUAUCCGGAUUUACUGGGUGUAAAGGGAGCGUAGACGGUUAAGCAAGUCUGAAGUGAAAGGUGUGGGCUCAACCCGCAAACUGCUUUGGAAACUGUUUAACUAGAGUGCCGGAGAGGUAAGUGGAAUUCCUAGUGUAGCGGUGAAAUGCGUAGAUAUUAGGAGGAACACCAGUGGCGAAGGCGGCUUACUGGACGAUAACUGACGUUGAGGCUCGAAAGCGUGGGGAGCAAACAGGAUUAGAUACCCUGGUA
RNAcentral lists this ribosomal RNA (434 nucleotides) under uncultured Clostridium sp. RNAcentral's name for it is "partial 16S ribosomal RNA". It matches the Rfam family "Bacterial small subunit ribosomal RNA", at positions 341 to 792 of the family's 1533-position model. Lineage: Bacteria; Bacillati; Bacillota; Clostridia; Eubacteriales; Clostridiaceae. The record is from RNAcentral.